This 253-nucleotide ribosomal RNA is filed under the name uncultured bacterium. RNAcentral describes it as "partial 16S ribosomal RNA". It matches the Rfam family "Bacterial small subunit ribosomal RNA", at positions 524 to 776 of the family's 1533-position model. The record is from RNAcentral.
UACGAAGGGGGCUAGCGUUGUUCGGAAUUACUGGGCGUAAAGCGUGCGCAGGCGGCUUCUUAAGUCAGGGGUGAAAUCCUGGAGCUCAACUCCAGAACUGCCUUUGAUACUGAGGAGCUUGAGUCCGGGAGAGGUGAGUGGAACUGCGAGUGUAGAGGUGAAAUUCGUAGAUAUUCGCAAGAACACCAGUGGCGAAGGCGGCUCACUGGCCCGGUACUGACGCUGAGGUGCGAAAGCGUGGGGAGCAAACAGG